ACACUCAGGGAGUGCACCAUGUGAAGACUGGACUUAAACAGCUACACCACCAGAAGCCGAGAGAGAGGCUGGAACAUAGCCUUCCCUUUGGAGCCCUAGCAGAUGCUAAUCCAGCGUGCGUCCUGGCAGAGGUUGAAGGGGGCUCCUCAAGUCCCAGGUCCAGCUUGGUGUGGUUCAGCUACUCGAGAGACAUCUGCUGCUAAUGGAUGAGCAGUCAACCUGGACGCAGGAAAUCAUUUUUUAUUUGGUCCUGGAGGCUGGAAGUGCAAAAGGAAGGUGUCGGCAAGAUCGUUUUUUUCUGAGAGCUCUCUCCUUGGCUUGCAGAUGGCAGCUUGCUCCUGGCACAGUCUUUUCUCUACUCACGCCCAAAGUUACGGAGGACCCAGCAACCAUCUCCUGCAGCCCCUGAAAACCUCUUGACUCUUCUGUGAUGUCCCCAGUGAUCCAGCAGCCCCGGCCUUCUUUUGAUGGCUUGAACAUUUGGUCUUCAUUGAACAGUUUGUAUAUUGGAAACUUGCCAGCCUCCAUCCACAUUCCAACCUCCGUCUGCAUCCCUCGGUACAAAAUGGUUCAAUCUGUCUACCUCCUUUCACAUUCCACCAAGAUAUUCCAAGGUCCAGGGUUCCUUUGACCACCUCACACCUAACAAGUUCCCUCACUGUCUCUCACUCUCCCCUGAAGAUUCUAAGCUGCCUCUGUCCUGCUAA
RNAcentral lists this long non-coding RNA (707 nucleotides) under Homo sapiens (human). Its description in RNAcentral is "MIR4435-2 host gene". The record is from RNAcentral. Lineage: Eukaryota; Metazoa; Chordata; Mammalia; Primates; Hominidae.